RNAcentral lists this small RNA (166 nucleotides) under Marmota monax (woodchuck). The record is from RNAcentral. Lineage: Eukaryota; Metazoa; Chordata; Mammalia; Rodentia; Sciuridae.
GCUGGGCAUGGUGGCCCAUGCCUGUAAUUCCAGGGACUCAGGAGGCUGAAUCAGGAGGCUGGCAAGUUUGAGGCCAGUCUUGGCAUCUUAAUCAAACAUUAUCUCAAAAUACAAAGGGUCUGAAUAAAUUGCUGAGGCUGGCUUUGAACUUGAGAUCCUUCUGCUU